UGAUAAUAAUAGUGUGCAACCCUGCACUCUCAAAAGACCGCUCAAAACACAUAAUUUCCAUCCAACACCAGGAAUAACAGACCUCUCUCCAACCAAUCUGAAUUCACAAAAUUUCUAUAAUCACAGACUUUAUUUGUGCAAACACACACAUCUCUCAAUAAAUAACAAUCAUAACCUUUCAAUAACUCCUUAUAUAAUUCAAUCACUCAGUACUCCAAUUACAUAAUCAAUAACUCAUAAAUUAAUCUAUGAUUUAUUCCAUAGACUCACUUCUCAGUAUACAAAAACUAUCCAUUACUUUUCAACAAAAAA
This 312-nucleotide long non-coding RNA is filed under the name Physcomitrium patens. RNAcentral's name for it is "long non-coding RNA (PPAT_LNC012966)". The record is from RNAcentral. Lineage: Eukaryota; Viridiplantae; Streptophyta; Bryopsida; Funariales; Funariaceae.